CCUCCUGUAUCUUCCACCCUGAAUGCGCCCCAUCUCCGCUGACCUGACAGCUCAGCAGGGUCGGGCCUGGUUAGGGCUUGGGUGGGAGCCGGCUGGGGAAUAUGGAGUGCUGUAGGC
Molecule: ribosomal RNA, 117 nt
Organism: Myotis lucifugus (little brown bat)
Lineage: Eukaryota; Metazoa; Chordata; Mammalia; Chiroptera; Vespertilionidae
Source: Ensembl